RNAcentral lists this ribosomal RNA (435 nucleotides) under Ligilactobacillus agilis. RNAcentral describes it as "bacterial SSU rRNA". It matches the Rfam family "Bacterial small subunit ribosomal RNA", at positions 74 to 495 of the family's 1533-position model. The record is from RNAcentral. Lineage: Bacteria; Bacillati; Bacillota; Bacilli; Lactobacillales; Lactobacillaceae.
GCUACACCGAUUGAAAAUUGAGUGGCGAACGGGUGAGUAACACGUGGGUAACCUGCCCAAAAGAGGGGGAUAACACUUGGAAACAGGUGCUAAUACCGCAUAACCAUGAUGACCGCAUGGUCAUUAUGUAAAAGAUGGUUUCGGCUAUCACUUUUGGAUGGACCCGCGGCGUAUUAACUUGUUGGUGGGGUAACGGCCUACCAAGGUAAUGAUACGUAGCCGAACUGAGAGGUUGAUCGGCCACAUUGGGACUGAGACACGGCCCAAACUCCUACGGGAGGCAGCAGUAGGGAAUCUUCCACAAUGGGCGCAAGCCUGAUGGAGCAACGCCGCGUGAGUGAAGAAGGUCUUCGGAUCGUAAAACUCUGUUGUUAGAGAAGAACAUGCUAGAGAGUAACUGUUCUUGUAUUGACGGUAUCUAACCAGAAAGCCACG